Molecule: ribosomal RNA, 113 nt
Filed under: Candidatus Kuenenbacteria bacterium HGW-Kuenenbacteria-1
Lineage: Bacteria; Candidatus Kueneniibacteriota
Source: RNAcentral
CUUGGUGAUUUUAGCGAGAGGGCAACACUUGAUCCCAUCCCGAACUCAAUAGUUAAGCCUCUCAGCGCCGAUGAUACUAUGAUUUAUUAUGGGAAAGUAGGACAUUGCCAAGA